GUAGGUGGCAAGCGUUGUCCGGAAUUAUUGGGCGUAAAGCGCGCGCAGGCGGUUCUUUAAGUCUGAUGUGAAAGCCCACGGCUCAACCGUGGAGGGUCAUUGGAAACUGGAGAACUUGAGUACAGAAGAGGAAAGCGGAAUUCCACGUGUAGCGGUGAAAUGCGUAGAGAUGUGGAGGAACACCAGUGGCGAAGGCGGCUUUCUGGUCUGUAACUGACGCUGAGGCGCGAAAGCGUGGGGAGCAAACAGGGAUUAGAUACCCUGGUAGUCCACGCCGUAAACGAUGAGUGCUAAGUGUUAGGGGGUUUCCGCCCCCGUUAGUGCUGCAGCUAACGCAUUAAGCACUCCGCCUGGGGAUACGGCCGCAAGGCUG
RNAcentral lists this ribosomal RNA (373 nucleotides) under uncultured organism. RNAcentral describes it as "partial 16S ribosomal RNA". It matches the Rfam family "Bacterial small subunit ribosomal RNA", at positions 527 to 896 of the family's 1533-position model. The record is from RNAcentral.